UGAUGACUAUUCUAUAGCAGCGUUGGUC
Molecule: non-coding RNA, 28 nt
Filed under: Bombyx mori (domestic silkworm)
Lineage: Eukaryota; Metazoa; Arthropoda; Insecta; Lepidoptera; Bombycidae
Source: RNAcentral